Transfer RNA from Scleroderma citrinum Foug A, 73 nucleotides. It matches the Rfam family "tRNA". From Rfam's summary of the family: Transfer RNA (tRNA) molecules are approximately 80 nucleotides in length. Their secondary structure includes four short double-helical elements and three loops (D, anti-codon, and T loops). NCBI's taxonomy places the organism in Eukaryota, Fungi, Basidiomycota, Agaricomycetes, Boletales, Sclerodermataceae. The record is from Rfam.
GGGUCCUUAGUCUAAUAGGUAGGGCACCUAAUUGUCGAUUAGGACUGUACCAGUUCGAAUCUGGUAGGACUCG